RNAcentral lists this ribosomal RNA (792 nucleotides) under uncultured bacterium. RNAcentral's name for it is "bacterial SSU rRNA". It matches the Rfam family "Bacterial small subunit ribosomal RNA", at positions 9 to 796 of the family's 1533-position model. The record is from RNAcentral.
GAGUUUGAUCCUGGCUCAGAAUGAACGCUGGCGGCGUGCCUAACACAUGCAAGUCGAAUGUGCCGCAAGGUGCAUGGCAGACGGGUGAGUAACGCGUAGGGAAUCUACCUUUUAGUGGGGAAUAACGCUCCGAAAGGAGUGGUAAUACCACAUGAGACCGUAGUCUGGGAUGACUACGGUGAAACCUGGGGACCGCAAGGCCUGGGGCUAAAAGAGGAUCCUGCGUCUGAUUAGCUAGUUGGCGGGGUAAUGGCCCACCAAGGCGACGAUCAGUAGCCGGCCUGAGAGGGUGAUCGGCCACACUGGACUGAGACACGGUCCAGACUCCUACGGGAGGCAGCAGUGGGGAAUUUUGCGCAAUGGACGAAAGUCUGACGCAGCAACGCCGCGUGGGUGAUGAAGGUCUUCGGACUGUAAAACCCUGUCGUCAGGGACGAAGGUUGGGGGGUUAAUAGCCCUUUAGCUUGACGGUACCUGGAGAGGAAGCCCCGGCUAACUCUGUGCCAGCAGCCGCGGUAAUACAGAGGGGGCAAGCGUUAUUCGGAAUUAUUGGGCGUAAAGGGCGCGUAGGCGGUUUUUUAAGUCAGAUGUGUAAUCCCCGAGCUCAACCUGGGAACUGCAUCCAAAACUGGCGAGCUAGAGUAUGGCAGAGGGUGGUGGAAUUUCCUGUGUAGCGGUGAAAUGCGUAGAUAUAGGAAGGAACACCAGUGGCGAAGGCGACCACCUGGGCUAAUACUGACACUGAGGUGCGAAAGCGUGGGGAGCAAACAGGAUUAGAUACCCUGGUAGUCC